CAUCUGAGAUGGCAACG
RNAcentral lists this unclassified non-coding RNA (17 nucleotides) under Mus musculus (house mouse). Its description in RNAcentral is "oocyte_clustered_small_RNA9657". Lineage: Eukaryota; Metazoa; Chordata; Mammalia; Rodentia; Muridae. The record is from RNAcentral.